This 293-nucleotide small RNA is filed under the name Pan troglodytes (chimpanzee). Its description in RNAcentral is "processed transcript". The record is from RNAcentral. Lineage: Eukaryota; Metazoa; Chordata; Mammalia; Primates; Hominidae.
ACUGUCUACAUUAGUAAUUCCCAACUUGGGUCCGAAAGUGAACUUUUGCUGAAGCGAAGUAGCUAACUGCUUCCAUGUGCAAGUGUGCUCACUGAUCCGCCUCCAGGGCCACCGCCAUGUCGAGCCGCGGUGGGAAGAAGAAGUCCACCAAGACGUCCAGGUCUGCCAAAGCAGGAGUCAUCUUUCCCGUGGGGCGGAUGCUGCGGUACAUCAAGAAAGGCCACCCCAAGUACAGGAUUGGAGUGGGGGCACCCGUGUACAUGGCCGCCGUCCUGGAAUACCUGACAGGUGAG